AUUUUAUUAGUAUAAAAAGUAUGAUUGUCUUCCAAACAAUUGGUUUAAAUUAAAUUAAAUAAAGUA
Molecule: transfer RNA, 66 nt
Filed under: Enteroctopus dofleini (giant Pacific octopus)
Lineage: Eukaryota; Metazoa; Mollusca; Cephalopoda; Octopoda; Octopodidae
Description: tRNA-Gly
Source: RNAcentral